GUCCCUCGUGGCGCAAUUGGCUAGCGCGUUUGACUGUUAACCGGCAACGGGAAGCAAAUCAGGAGGUUGGUGGUUCAAGCCCACCCGGUACG
Molecule: transfer RNA, 92 nt
Filed under: Friedmanniomyces endolithicus
Lineage: Eukaryota; Fungi; Ascomycota; Dothideomycetes; Mycosphaerellales; Teratosphaeriaceae
Description: tRNA-Asn
Rfam family: tRNA (bases 7-87)
About the family: Transfer RNA (tRNA) molecules are approximately 80 nucleotides in length. Their secondary structure includes four short double-helical elements and three loops (D, anti-codon, and T loops).
Source: RNAcentral